Molecule: long non-coding RNA, 577 nt
Filed under: Callithrix jacchus (white-tufted-ear marmoset)
Lineage: Eukaryota; Metazoa; Chordata; Mammalia; Primates; Cebidae
Description: lncRNA (ENSCJAG00000066964.2)
Source: RNAcentral
UGCACACCCAUGUUCAUUGCAACGUUAUUCAGAAUAGCUGAGAUAUGGAAUCAACCUACUUGAACAAAGGAAUGGAUAAAGAACAUGUAGUACAUAUGGAACAGCAUUCAGCCUUUAAAAAGAAGCAAAUCCUGUAGUUUGAAACAUGAGUGAAUCUGGAGAACAUUAUGUUAAGUGAAAUAAACCAGGCUCAGAAAGAAAAGUACCUUGUGAUGUCACUUACAUGUGGAAUCUAAAAAAGAUGAACUCACAGAAGCAGCGAAUAGAAUGACGGUUACCAGAGGUUGGAAAGAAGGCAGUUGGGAAGGUGUUGGUCAAAGGAUAUAACAUUUCAAUUAGAUAGAAACAAUGAUCAUCUCAGUUGAAUAAAGAAACAACCAAAAUGCUGAAUUUGAAGAUUUCAAAUGAGAAGCAGUUUCUUUCCCUCACAUUCAAGUGCAGGAAGAAAUUUUUGUUGUUGAGAAUGUUAAGUGUCCAAAUCAUCUCUGAGCCCAGUUCAUGGUCAGCACUUGAAGGAAACAGUUUGAGACAGCAGGAGUCUCUUAAACCAUCCCACCACAAAUCUAUUACAAUAUAA